GUGCCAGCCGCCGCGGUAAUACGGAGGGUGCAAGCGUUGUCCGGAAUCAUUGGGCGUAAAGGGUGCGCAGGCGGGGCAGCAAGUCGGAGGUGAAAGCCCGUGGCUCAACCACGGAAGUGCUUUCGAAACUGUUGCUCUUGAGUCCCGGAGAGGUUGCCGGAAUUCGUGGUGUAGCGGUGAAAUGCGUAGAUAUCACGAGGAACACCAGUGGCGAAAGCGGGCAACUGGACGGGUACUGACGCUGAGGCACGAAAGCGCGGGGAGCAAACAGGAUUAGAAACCCGAGUAGUCC
This 292-nucleotide ribosomal RNA is filed under the name uncultured bacterium. RNAcentral's name for it is "partial 16S ribosomal RNA". It matches the Rfam family "Bacterial small subunit ribosomal RNA", at positions 505 to 796 of the family's 1533-position model. The record is from RNAcentral.